This is a long non-coding RNA of Acromyrmex echinatior (Panamanian leafcutter ant), 273 nucleotides long. Lineage: Eukaryota; Metazoa; Arthropoda; Insecta; Hymenoptera; Formicidae. The record is from RefSeq and is a predicted model, not a curated record.
UACAUACAUACACACACACAUCUGCUUCUAUGAAGAUUACCUCAUUAUAAUGGUAAACCAAAAGGAGUAAAUGUAUCCUGCAAAUCCGGGAUUCUGGGAUCACUUUGAGCCAUCGUAUAUUCUGAUACAGUCUGAACAGACAACAAACCAUGGAGAUAAAAUAAAGUAAUAAUAACAACACAUAAAAUCAUGAUGAGAAUAGAGGACCAGAAUCUCUCAUGCGUCUUACAUAUGUGUUUAUAAACACACGGCAUGACGUUCUCGGAAGACCGC